UCGACAAAAUGUUCUGGGCCCAAAAGGCAGAAGAGGAUGCUAACUUCUGGCCACACUGAAGGAAUGUAGACGUUACGCGGCUUUAGGGCGUCAUCACGGAAUACAUGACUCUUCGGUUGGAGGAGGAGUACUGCAGCAAUAUGUUUUAACAAGGAUACAAAACGCUACAGUAUAACGGAACGGCGCCAGGAAGAAAAGGCAGUGAAAUACGCGGAGGCUCACCUUUGAACUCUGUUGGAGGAGGUCAGUGACGGCAUGCCGCCCCCUGCUGGCGUGGAGCUCUGUGAUUGACAGCGAGGACAGAUGCUGUCGUCUAAACAGGGUCAAUCUGGAGACCUUCUGCUGUCAGCAGAUGUCCAAUUAAUAAGCACAUCAUCAGCAAUAAGAUGCACACCACGCAGGCCAUCAACUGCCUGCAUGAGUUCACGCUGGAAAACUUUGGGAGCCGGACUAAUUCCCAUCGGCAUCCUGAGCUAACUGAACCUGCAAAAUGUGGUGGCAAAUGUCGUGACGUACUGUAACUAGUCUUCUCACUCAGCUUCAUGUACCAAAAACAUGCCUGACAUCACACACCAUGAACACUCUUGCUUUAGAAAGUCUAUAUAUUUAGUCUAUAUGAUAUAUCAACGGGCAAGAGAGGAAAAUGGCUUCCUUUCAGCGCUCUGUUCAGCAGUUUUGGAUCUGUGCAAGUCCUACAUUUUCCAUUGGGUUUGGUCACUGUCAUCAUGCUGCUUAUCCAGUCAGUACUGUAUUGCACAAGUGCAAUAAUUCCAUUAUUCUGUAGUUCUCUAAGUUCAGCUUUGGGAGGUGUGAACAGAGCCAAUGGCACUCUGCAUUUAGGCACUUUUACAGGGGAUACGCUCGUGUCAAGUCUCAUGUAGUACUCCCCCUCAAGGCAUCCCACAACACGGUAGAGAUAUGUCAUGGUGCGUCUUGUUGCAUCAUCUUGCAUUUGUCGCCGACAACACAGCAUUCUUUCACAACAUUGUCCAAUUACUGAAUGAUAUCAACUAUUUUGAU
This is a long non-coding RNA of Dunckerocampus dactyliophorus (ringed pipefish), 1020 nucleotides long. RefSeq lists it as uncharacterized. The transcript is spliced from 4 exons. The record is from RefSeq and is a predicted model, not a curated record. NCBI's taxonomy places the organism in Eukaryota, Metazoa, Chordata, Actinopteri, Syngnathiformes, Syngnathidae.